Molecule: ribosomal RNA, 93 nt
Filed under: Gongora sphaerica
Lineage: Eukaryota; Viridiplantae; Streptophyta; Magnoliopsida; Asparagales; Orchidaceae
Description: 5.8S ribosomal RNA
Rfam family: 5.8S ribosomal RNA
About the family: 5.8S ribosomal RNA (5.8S rRNA) is a component of the large subunit of the eukaryotic ribosome. It is transcribed by RNA polymerase I as part of the 45S precursor that also contains 18S and 28S rRNA. Functionally, it is thought that 5.8S rRNA may be involved in ribosome translocation.
Source: RNAcentral
GACACGAUCUCGGCAAUGGAUAUCUCGGCUCUUGCAUCGAUGAAGAGCGCAGCGAAAUGCGAUACGUGGUGCGAAUUGCAGAAUCCCGCGAAC